GGAUUGGUGACUGAGAGGCUUAAGGUGUCAGUUUGCUAAGUUGAUAUAUCUCAAUUGGUAUCGCGGGUUCGAAUCCCGCCCAAUCCG
RNAcentral lists this transfer RNA (87 nucleotides) under Rickettsiales bacterium. Its description in RNAcentral is "tRNA-Ser". It matches the Rfam family "tRNA". Rfam says of the family: Transfer RNA (tRNA) molecules are approximately 80 nucleotides in length. The record is from RNAcentral. Lineage: Bacteria; Pseudomonadati; Pseudomonadota; Alphaproteobacteria; Rickettsiales.